Molecule: ribosomal RNA, 253 nt
Filed under: uncultured bacterium
Lineage: Bacteria
Description: partial 16S ribosomal RNA
Rfam family: Bacterial small subunit ribosomal RNA
Source: RNAcentral
UACGAAGGGUGCAAACGUUGCUCGGAAUCAUUGGGCGUAAAGCGCACGUAGGCGGCCCGAUAAGUCGGAUGUGAAAGCCCCCGGCUCAACUGGGGAGGGUCAUUCGAUACUGAUCGACUCGAAGGCAGGAGAGGGUAGUGGAAUUCCCGGUGUAGUGGUGAAAUGCGUAGAUAUCGGGAGGAACACCAGUGGCGAAGGCGACUACCUGGCCUGUUCUUGACGCUGAGGCGCGAAAGCUAGGGGAGCAAACGGG